GACGAACGCUGGCGGCGUGCUUAACACAUGCAAGUCGAACGAAGGGGCGAACGGGUGAGUAAUACGUGGGAAACAUGCACUGCUUGUCAGAAUAAGCCUGGGACACGGGGUCUAAUACAGAAUAAAGGAGGAUGGGUUCGCGGCCUAUCAGCUUGUUGGUGGGGUUAUGGCAGACAAAGGGGGUGACGGGGAACCGGCAUUAGAGGGUGCUCGGACACGUUGGGACUGAGAUACGGCCCAGACUCUUCUGGGGGGCAGCGUUGGGGGAUAGUGCACAAUGGGCGAAAGCCUGCUGCAGCGACGCCGCGUGGGGGAUGAAGGCUUUCGGGUUGUAAACCUCUUUCGCUAUCGAACGGGUAGGUGGAUAAGAAGCGCCGGCUAACUACGUGCCAGCAGCCGCGGUAAUAC
RNAcentral lists this ribosomal RNA (408 nucleotides) under uncultured bacterium. RNAcentral's name for it is "partial 16S ribosomal RNA". It matches the Rfam family "Bacterial small subunit ribosomal RNA", at positions 28 to 526 of the family's 1533-position model. The record is from RNAcentral.